CGGGGAGUGGCGCAGCGGUAGCGCACCUGCUUUGGGAGCAGGAGGUCGGGGGUUCGAAUCCCCCUUCCCCGA
Molecule: transfer RNA, 72 nt
Filed under: Acidimicrobiales bacterium
Lineage: Bacteria; Bacillati; Actinomycetota; Acidimicrobiia; Acidimicrobiales
Also listed under: 3 other names
Description: tRNA-Pro
Rfam family: tRNA
About the family: Transfer RNA (tRNA) molecules are approximately 80 nucleotides in length. Their secondary structure includes four short double-helical elements and three loops (D, anti-codon, and T loops).
Source: RNAcentral